This 253-nucleotide ribosomal RNA is filed under the name uncultured bacterium. Its description in RNAcentral is "partial 16S ribosomal RNA". It matches the Rfam family "Bacterial small subunit ribosomal RNA", at positions 524 to 776 of the family's 1533-position model. The record is from RNAcentral.
UACAGAGGUCCCAAGCGUUGUUCGGAUUCACUGGGCGUAAAGGGUGCGUAGGUGGCCGGUUAAGUCUGACGUGAAAUCUCCGAGCCUAACUCGGAAACUGCAUCGGAAACUAUCCGGCUCGAGGGUUGGAGGGGGGACCGGAAUACUUGGUGUAGCAGUGAAAUGCGUAGAUAUCAAGUGGAACACCAGUGGCGAAGGCGAGUCCCUGGACAACUCCUGACACUGAGGCACGAAAGCUAGGGGAGCAAACAGG